RNAcentral lists this ribosomal RNA (497 nucleotides) under uncultured bacterium. RNAcentral describes it as "partial 16S ribosomal RNA". It matches the Rfam family "Bacterial small subunit ribosomal RNA", at positions 28 to 507 of the family's 1533-position model. The record is from RNAcentral.
GACGAACGCUGGCGGCGUGCCUAAUACAUGCAAGUUGAGCGCUGAAGGUUGGUACUUGUACCAACUGGAUGAGCAGCGAACGGGUGAGUAACGCGUGGGGAAUCUGCCUUUGAGCGGGGGACAACAUUUGGAAACGAAUGCUAAUACCGCAUAAAAACUUUAAACACAAGUUUUAAGUUUGAAAGAUGCAAUUGCAUCACUCAAAGAUGAUCCCGCGUUGUAUUAGCUAGUUGGUGAGGUAAAGGCUCACCAAGGCGAUGAUACAUAGCCGACCUGAGAGGGUGAUCGGCCACAUUGGGACUGAGACACGGCCCAAACUCCUACGGGAGGCAGCAGGAGGGAAUCUUCGGCAAUGGACGAAAGUCUGACCGAGCAACGCCGCGGGAGUGAAGAAGGGUUUCGGAUCGUAAAACUCUGUUGGUAGAGAAGAACGUUGGUGAGAGUGGAAAGCUCGUCAAGUGACGGUAACUACACAGAAAGGGACGGCUAACUACGUG